RNAcentral lists this ribosomal RNA (208 nucleotides) under uncultured Acidithiobacillus sp. Its description in RNAcentral is "partial 16S ribosomal RNA". It matches the Rfam family "Bacterial small subunit ribosomal RNA", at positions 568 to 775 of the family's 1533-position model. The record is from RNAcentral. Lineage: Bacteria; Pseudomonadati; Pseudomonadota; Acidithiobacillia; Acidithiobacillales; Acidithiobacillaceae.
CGCGUAGGCGGUGGGUUACGUCUGCCGUGAAAUCCCCGGGCUCAACCUGGGAAUGGCGGUGGAAACGGGCUGACUAGAGUAUGGGAGAGGGUGAUGGAAUUCCAGGUGUAGCGGUGAAAUGCGUAGAGAUCUGGAGGAACAUCAGUGGCGAAGGCGGUCACCUGGCCCAAUACUGACGCUGAGGCGCGAAAGCGUGGGGAGCAAAACA